This 58-nucleotide ribosomal RNA is filed under the name uncultured Atheliaceae. RNAcentral describes it as "partial 28S ribosomal RNA". It matches the Rfam family "Eukaryotic large subunit ribosomal RNA", at positions 1 to 57 of the family's 3401-position model. Lineage: Eukaryota; Fungi; Basidiomycota; Agaricomycetes; Atheliales; Atheliaceae. The record is from RNAcentral.
UUGACCUCAGGUCAGGUAGGACUACCCGCUGAACUUAAGCAUAUCAAUAAGCGGAGGA